GGGCCCGUGGCUUAGCCUGGAUAUAGCACUGGCCUUCUAAGCCAGUGGUCUCGGGUUCGAAUCCCGACGGGCCCGCCA
This 78-nucleotide transfer RNA is filed under the name Methanomassiliicoccales archaeon. RNAcentral's name for it is "tRNA-Arg". It matches the Rfam family "tRNA". From Rfam's summary of the family: Transfer RNA (tRNA) molecules are approximately 80 nucleotides in length. Their secondary structure includes four short double-helical elements and three loops (D, anti-codon, and T loops). The record is from RNAcentral. Lineage: Archaea; Methanobacteriati; Thermoplasmatota; Thermoplasmata; Methanomassiliicoccales.